Ciona savignyi (Pacific transparent sea squirt) is the source of this 119-nucleotide non-coding RNA. The record is from Rfam. NCBI's taxonomy places the organism in Eukaryota, Metazoa, Chordata, Ascidiacea, Phlebobranchia, Cionidae.
GCUUAUCACCAUUCCAGAUUGAAUAUACCCGAUCUCGUCUGAUCUCGGAAGUCAACCAAUCUCGGGCUUGGUUAGUACUUGGAUGGGUGACCGCUUGGGAAUACCAGUUGUGAUAAGCA